AUUGAACGCUGGCGGCAUGCCUUACACAUGCAAGUCGAACGGCAGCGGACCUUCGGGUGCCGGCGAGUGGCGAACGGGUGAGUAAUAUAUCGGAACGUACCUUUCAGUGGGGGGAUAACGUAGCGAAAGUUACGCUAAUACCGCAUAUUCUGUGAGCAGGAAAGCAGGGGAUCGCAAGACCUUGCGCUGAUUGAGCGGCCGAUAUCAGAUUAGCUAGUUGGUGAGGUAAAGGCUCACCAAGGCGACGGAUCUGUAGCGGGUCUGAGAGGAUGAUCCGCCACACUGGAACUGAGACACGGUCCAGACUCCUACGGGAGGCAGCAGUGGGGAAUUUUGGACAAUGGGCGCAAGCCUGAUCCAGCCAUGCCGCGUGAGUG
Molecule: ribosomal RNA, 377 nt
Filed under: uncultured bacterium
Lineage: Bacteria
Description: bacterial SSU rRNA
Rfam family: Bacterial small subunit ribosomal RNA
Source: RNAcentral